Molecule: ribosomal RNA, 301 nt
Filed under: uncultured bacterium
Lineage: Bacteria
Description: partial 16S ribosomal RNA
Rfam family: Bacterial small subunit ribosomal RNA
Source: RNAcentral
CAGUAGCCACGGUAAUACGGAGGGAGCUAGCGUUGCUCGGAAUCACUGGGCGUAAAGGGUGCGUAGGCGGGUCUUUAAGUCAGGGGUGAAAUCCUGGAGCUCAACUCCAGAACUGCCUUUGAUACUGAAGAUCUUGAGUUCGGGAGAGGUGAGUGGAACUGCGAGUGUAGAGGUGAAAUUCGUAGAUAUUCGCAAGAACACCAGUGGCGAAGGCGGCUCACUGGCCCGAUACUGACGCUGAGGCACGAAAGCGUGGGGAGCAAACAGGAUUAGAUACCCCUGUAGUCCCUGUCUCUUAUAC